UGGGGAAUAUUGGACAAUGGGCGCAAGCCUGAUCCAGCAAUGCCGCGUGAGUGAUGAAGGCCUUCGGGUUGUAAAGCUCUUUCGNCUGCGAGGAUGAUGACGGUAGCAGGAGAAGAAGCCCCGGCUAACUUCGUGCCAGCAGCCGCGGUAAUACGAAGGGGGCGAGCGUUGUUCGGAUUUACUGGGCGUAAAGGGCGCGUAGGCGGCGAUGUAAGUCAGGCGUGAAAGCCCCGGGCUCAACCUGGGAACUGCGCUUGGGACUACAUUGCUGGAGUUCGGGAGAGGAGCGUGGAAUUCCCAGUGUANNGGUGAAAUUCGUAGAUAUUGGGAAGAACACCGGUGGCGANNGCGGCGCUCUGGACCGAUACUGACGCUGAGGCGCGAAAGCGUGGGGAGCAAACAGGAUUAGAUACCCUGGUAGUCCACGCUGUAAACGAUGUGUGCUANNCGUUGGGGAGCCUAGCUCUUCGGUGUCGCCGCUAACGCUGUAAGCACACCGCCUGGGGAGUACGGCCGCAAGGUUA
Molecule: ribosomal RNA, 524 nt
Filed under: uncultured bacterium
Lineage: Bacteria
Description: bacterial SSU rRNA
Rfam family: Bacterial small subunit ribosomal RNA
Source: RNAcentral